AGUGACAAUUCCGCGCCCUGACGAAAUAGGGCGUUAAAAGAUGUAGGUAUAUUUUCUAUAGGCAAAUCCGUAGAGAAUGCUGAAGUCCAACAGUACCAGGAGGCUGCGGCCGAAUGGAUAGAGAAUGUAAGCAGACUUCCGAGAAAAUCUUCUAAGCAUAUUGAUACGGUACCCGUACCGCAAACCGACACAGGUAGUCAAGGAGAGAAUCCUGAGGUGCUCGAGUGAGUCAUGGCUAAGGAACUAAGCAAAUUAAACCUGUAACUUCGGGAAAAGGGUUGCCUCUCUUUAGCAAUAAAGAAGGUCGCAGAGAAAUGGCCCAGGCGACUGUUUAACAAAAACACAUGGCUAUGCGAAAUCGUAAGAUGAAGUAUAUGGCCUGACACCUGCCCGGUGCUGGAAGGUUAAGGGGGGAAGUUAGUCGCAAGGCGAAGCUUUGAACUGAAGCCCCAGUAAACGGCGGCCCUAACUAUAACGGUCCUAAGGUAGCGAAAUUCCUUGUCGGGUAAGUUCCGACCUGCACGAAUGGUGUAACGAUCUGGGCACUGUCUCAGCCAUGAGCUCGGUGAAAUUGUAGUCACGGUGAAGAUGCCGUGUACCCGUCACGGGACGGAAAGACCCCAUGCACCUUUACUAUAGCUUCGCAUUGACAUUGGGUAGAUGAUGUGUAGGAUAGGUGGGAGGCGUUGAUCCUGUGCCGCUAGGUAUAGGGGAGCCAACGGUGAAGUACCACCCUUUAUUUAUCUGAUGUCUAAUCCGCAAGACCUGCGGAGAUAGUGCGUGGUGGGUAGUUUGACUGGGGUGGUCGCCUCCGAAAGUGUAUCGGGGGCUUUCAAAGGUAUGCUCAAUACGCUUGGUAACCGUAUGUGGAGUGCAAUAGCAUAAGCAUGCUUGACUGUGAGACUGACAAGUCGAGCAGGGUCGAAAGACGGAUAUAGUGAUCCGGUGGUUCUGUAUGGAAGGGCCAUCGCUCAAAGGAUAAAAGGUACGCUGGGAUAACAGGCUGAUCUCCCCCAAGAGCUCACAUCGACGGGGAGGUUUGGCACCUCGAUGUCGGCUCGUCACAUCCUGGGGCUGGAGAAGGUCCCAAGGGUUAGGCUGUUCGCCUAUUAAAGUGGCACGCGAGCUGGGUUCAGAACGUCGUGAGACAGUUCGGUCCCUAUCUGUGAUGGGCGUAGGAAGUUUGAGAGGAUCUGACCUUAGUACGAGAGGACCGGGUUGGACCAACCGCUGGUGUACCGGUUGUGGCGUCAGCUGCAUCGCCGGGUAGCUACGUUGGGACGAGAUAAGCGCUGAAAGCAUCUAAGCGCGAAACUCACCUCAAGAUGAGACUUCCAUUAAGGGACGUCAGAGACUAUGACGUUGAUAGGCUGCAGGUGUAAAGGCAGAAAUGUCAAAGCUGAGCAGUACUAAUUACCCA
RNAcentral lists this ribosomal RNA (1420 nucleotides) under metagenome. RNAcentral describes it as "bacterial LSU rRNA". It matches the Rfam family "Bacterial large subunit ribosomal RNA", at positions 1479 to 2911 of the family's 2925-position model. The record is from RNAcentral.